AUUGAACGCUGGCGGCAGGCUUAACACAUGCAAGUCGAGCGAGUGGCGGACGGGUGAGUAAUGCUUGGGAAUCUAGCUUAUGGCGGGGGAUAACUACGGGAAACUGUAGCUAAUACCGCGUACCAUUGGAUGGGCCCAUGUGGGAUUAGGUAGUUGGUGAGGUAAAGGCUCACCAAGCCGACGAUCGCUAGCUGGUCUGAGAGGAUGACCAGCCACCCUGGAACUGUGACACGGCCCAGACGCCCACGGGAGGCAGCAGUGGGGAAUAUUGCGCAAUGGGGGCAACCUGACGCAGCCAUGCCGCGUGGAUGAAGAAGGCCUUCGGGUUGUAAAGUUCUUUCGGUAGCGAGGCGGUAGCUGCAGAAGAAGCACCGGCUAACUCCGUGCCAGCAGCCGCGGUAAUAC
Molecule: ribosomal RNA, 405 nt
Filed under: uncultured bacterium
Lineage: Bacteria
Description: partial 16S ribosomal RNA
Rfam family: Bacterial small subunit ribosomal RNA
Source: RNAcentral